GGAGUAGUGGCUCAGUGGUGGAGCACUUACCUGGCACGUGUGAGGCACUGGGUUUGAUUCUCAGCACUGCA
This 71-nucleotide transfer RNA is filed under the name Marmota monax (woodchuck). Its description in RNAcentral is "tRNA.Ala". The record is from RNAcentral. Lineage: Eukaryota; Metazoa; Chordata; Mammalia; Rodentia; Sciuridae.